Carassius carassius (crucian carp) is the source of this 579-nucleotide long non-coding RNA. RefSeq lists it as uncharacterized. The record is from RefSeq and is a predicted model, not a curated record. The transcript is spliced from 3 exons. Lineage: Eukaryota; Metazoa; Chordata; Actinopteri; Cypriniformes; Cyprinidae.
GCAGUUUAUUAAGUGUAUAGUUUAAUUAACAGUGUUAAAGUACAUAUUUCUCACGAAUGUACACAACCGCGUAGUUUAUAUCACUGAGGAUAUACUAGUCAUCAUGUUGGAAAUGGAGAUGUUGUUUGGUUACAUCAACAUGAAGAUGAAGAACUGUUUAUGUGAGAUAAUUGCAGUCCCUCAUUUUCCUGGAUAACUACAUAAAUAUUUCCUGUCUUAUCUUACACAGUCAUGUACAAAAAAAGAAGAAGAAGAAGAAGAAAAAAAACAUCGGGACAGGACGGGUUUCAACGAAAUUCGACAUUUUAAUGUUCAUACAGUGGUUAGCAAAACAUAGGCUAUCAAAACGUUACUCCGUGGAACGUAGUUUAUAGUUAUUGAAAAGUAAUGAAAAGUGAAUAUCCUCGGAGCAGAUGACAGGCUUCCUUCACUUCCUGAUGGCGAACAGGGAUCACAUUUGUUUCAGGGUUUUACGGGAACAGGAUGCAGAUGUUCUGAGGAUCCGCAACGGUUCCUUGAGUCCAGAACCGGAGAACAAAGAGAGAUGGCUCAAGAUGUCUUAUGAGACUGAAAAAACUU